GGCUCUUUGAGAGAAAAAAAAUAAAGAGUCGGACCUGCCCAGUGAAAACUUUUAACGGCCGCGGUACUCUGACCGUGCAAAGGUAGCAUAAUCAUUUGCCUUAUAAUUGAAGGCUUGUAUGAAUGGUUUGACAAGAAUAUAGCUGUCUCUAUGUAAUUUAUUAGAAUUUUAUCUUGAAGUGAAGAAGCUUGAAUGAAAUUAAUAGACAAGAAGACCCUAUCGAGCUUGAAAUAAUGAGUUGUAGAGUAUUUUGAAUAUAAAGUUAAAAAGUUGGUUAUAUCAGAUUUUGGUUGGGGCGACUUAGGAACAUAAAAAGCUUCCUAAAUAAAUAAAUUUGCAAACUUGAUCCAAAAUUUUUUGAUUAAAGAAAUUAGUUACCGUAGGGAUAACAGCAUUAUCUUCUUUAAGAGUUCUAAUCGAAAAGAGGGUUUGUGACCUCGAUGUUGGACCAGAAUGUCCUAAAGAUGCAGCAGUCUUUAAGGGUUGGUCUGUUCGACCAUUAAAAUUCUACG
This 512-nucleotide ribosomal RNA is filed under the name Euplica aff. deshayesii EES-2022. Its description in RNAcentral is "partial large subunit ribosomal RNA". It matches the Rfam family "Bacterial large subunit ribosomal RNA", at positions 1819 to 2600 of the family's 2925-position model. The record is from RNAcentral. Lineage: Eukaryota; Metazoa; Mollusca; Gastropoda; Neogastropoda; Columbellidae.